UUAGCGGCGGACGGGUGAGUAACACGUAGGCAACCUGCCUGUACGACUGGGAUAACUCCGGGAAACCGGAGCUAAUACCGGAUAGGAUGUCAGACCGCAUGGUCUGACAUGGAAAGGUCUUGUAACCACGUACAGAUGGGCCUGCGGCGCAUUAGCUAGUUGGUGGGGUAACGGCCUACCAAGGCGACGAUGCGUAGCCGACCUGAGAGGGUGAUCGGCCACACUGGGACUGAGACACGGCCCAGACUCCUACGGGAGGCAGCAGUAGGGAAUCUUCCGCAAUGGACGAAAGUCUGACGGAGCAACGCCGCGUGAACGAUGAAGGUUUUCGGAUCGUAAAGUUCUGUUGUUAGGGAAGAACCGCCGGGAUGACCUCCCGGUCUGACGGUACCUAACGAGAAAGCCCCGGCUAACUACGUGCCAGCAGCCGCGGUAAUACGUAGGGGGCAAGCGUUGUCCGGAAUUAUUGGGCGUAAAGCGCGCGCAGGCGGCUUCUUAAGUCAGGUGUGAAAGCCCACGGCUCAACCGUGGAGGGCCACUUGAAACUGGGAAGCUUGAGUGCAGGAGAGGAGAGCGGAAUUCCACGUGUAGCGGUGAAAUGCGUAGAGAUGUGGAGGAACACCCGUGGCGAAGGCGGCUCUCUGGCCUGUAACUGACGCUGAGGCGCGAAAGCGUGGGGAGCGAACAGGAUUAGAUACCCUGGUAGUCCACGCCGUAAACGAUGAGUGCUAGGUGUUGGGGACUCCAAUCCUCAGUGCCGCAGCUAACGCAAUAAGCACUCCGCCUGGGGAGUACGGCCGCAAGGCUGAAACUCAAAGGAAUUGACGGGGACC
This 833-nucleotide ribosomal RNA is filed under the name Aneurinibacillus migulanus. RNAcentral's name for it is "bacterial SSU rRNA". It matches the Rfam family "Bacterial small subunit ribosomal RNA", at positions 92 to 921 of the family's 1533-position model. The record is from RNAcentral. Lineage: Bacteria; Bacillati; Bacillota; Bacilli; Caryophanales; Paenibacillaceae.